CACACAUGUUGUGUGGUCUGCACUUAAGUUGAUACCUAUAAAUGGCAGGGUUGUGGGUCACAUGCUGGCUGGAGGGCUGAGCUGCAGAGGAAGACUAAGCUACACCUGGAGCAGUGGUAAUCAUCAGCCAGAGAGCAGCUUCAUUUCUAACUGCAGGGAACAGGACAGAGGAAGCAGCUGUUCUUUUGGGCUCUGUUCUGAUCCACAUUUUGAAUGACCCAUCCUUUAGCUUGCUGGAAUUCAAUGAGCAAAAGCAGAGCACAGACAAGAUUGCAAAUAUAUUCUGCUCAGAUGGAGGCACUAAACAC
Molecule: long non-coding RNA, 308 nt
Filed under: Phasianus colchicus (ring-necked pheasant)
Lineage: Eukaryota; Metazoa; Chordata; Aves; Galliformes; Phasianidae
Description: lncRNA (ENSPCLG00000002087.1)
Source: RNAcentral